Molecule: ribosomal RNA, 492 nt
Filed under: uncultured bacterium
Lineage: Bacteria
Description: partial 16S ribosomal RNA
Rfam family: Bacterial small subunit ribosomal RNA
Source: RNAcentral
AGUGAACGCUGGCGGUAGGCCUAACACAUGCAAGUCGAACGGCAGCACAGUAAGAGCUUGCUCUUACGGGUGGCGAGUGGCGGACGGGUGAGGAAUACAUCGGAAUCUACUUUUUCGUGGGGGAUAACAUAGGGAAACUUACGCUAAUACCGCAUACGACCUACGGGUGAAAGCAGGGGAUCUUCGGACCUUGCGCGAUUGAAUGAGCCGAUGUCGGAUUAGCUAGUUGGCGGGGUAAAGGCCCACCAAGGCGACGAUCCGUAGCUGGUCUGAGAGGACGAUCAGCCACACUGGAACUGAGACACGGUCCAGACUCCUACGGGAGGCAGCAGUGGGGAAUAUUGGACAAUGGGCGCAAGCCUGAUCCAGCCAUACCGCGUGGGUGAAGAAGGCCUUCGGGUUGUAAAGCCCUUUUGUUGGGAAAGAAAAGCAGCAGGUUAAUACCCCGCUGUUCUGACGGUACCCAAAGAAUAAGCACCGGCUAACUUCGUG